AGAAUACUAAAGUCCAUAACGAUGAAGCUGCGCCUUGCUCCUUCUUGGCCAUUUAUGGAGGGCGUGUUGAACCCACUCCACUCACCCACAGUUCCCUGAUGUGAGCACACUGUGAUAUAGAGAUCCCUGCUCUCAUGACGCUGAUGUUCCAGAGGAAGCAGGCAGUCAACUAGCAUAUUAACAAUGAGAUCAUUUCAACUAGAAGUCAUCUAGCUCCUCAUUCCAUUGUAAGCCGAGUCUCUAUGUCAGGAUGGCAAAUAGAUUUACAACUGGACUGUCACCUCUCAGGGAUGACUGGAGCACUGGAUGGAAAAGCAUUCUGCAGUCAUUCCAGAAUUCCGUAGGAAAGAUGCCACUGCAAUCCCAUAUGCAUCCCUGUCCUGUGAUACUCCUGCACUAGAAUUAGGUCAUUGGUGGCCUCCAUGAGAAUUCUUUCAGUCUCAAGUGUGAGAGAAGAUAAAAUGAAGGAAAGGAAGGAGUUAUCCUUAAAACUCUUUAGGAAUUAAAUAAAGAAAAAGCUCUCACGGUGAUCUUGCUCUUGGUUCCAGAAAAUUUGAAUUUCAAGGAGAUAAAAAUAGGUAUUAUGUUUAAUUUCCGCUCAUUUCUCUCCAAGGGAUUCUCUCUCCAAGAAUUUUAUUUUAGGUGCUGCUUUCUCUCAAUACCAUCUUUAAAAGAUACUUGUCUUUCUGAAGGAUCUUCCCAGCACCCAGCAGCAGGCAAGCAUUGUAUGAAGCCCAGCUUGGCUGUCAGGAGGAUAGACUGUUCAAUGAACAUCAGUUCAGAAAAAAAAGAAGGGAAGAAGAUGUUGAUUCUAUAACAAAGAGAGAGUAGCAGGUUUCUGUUCUAGAAAGGCAGCACCUUGGGAAAUUUUUAAAAAUGAAAAUUCCCAUCCGUGCCCUCACUUGCUUUUCUCUUCUCAACAAGGGAACUGGAAACUCAAACUAUGAAAAAUAAAAUCAUAUUUUGAACAGAUUUCUUAUAAAAUACCUUUGCCUGCCCAGAGGCAUGAAUGGAUAGACUAGCUUAAAUUGUUUCUCAAAAAGAACUGUUUCUGUUUCUUCCUCCUAUUCCUCUUUUUCUGUCUCCUCUUUCUCCUCUUCCUCCUUUAUUAUUUUAUUUUGAACAUUGUUUUCUAUUUUAAAAUUGCUUAUUUGCUUAU
RNAcentral lists this long non-coding RNA (1159 nucleotides) under Equus caballus (horse). RNAcentral's name for it is "lncRNA (ENSECAG00000059938.1)". Lineage: Eukaryota; Metazoa; Chordata; Mammalia; Perissodactyla; Equidae. The record is from RNAcentral.